Long non-coding RNA from Sander lucioperca (pikeperch), 533 nucleotides. RefSeq lists it as uncharacterized. The transcript has 2 exons. The record is from RefSeq and is a predicted model, not a curated record. Lineage: Eukaryota; Metazoa; Chordata; Actinopteri; Perciformes; Percidae.
CAUAGGGCUCGUAGCAUCGAGUCCUGCAGGACGUGUGGGGGACGACUGGAAGAGGAAGAUGGGAUAACACCUUUGUUAAUGUUUUGUCUGGUUAUUUUGGCAGCUCUCCUACAGAUCAUCCACGUGUGAAUGGCAGCCGUGGAUACAAACUCUACGCUGACCAACAAUGAUGACCUGUGACAUGUGACACAACCCUGUUUCUAUUAGCUCCUGGAGCCCCACAACACGCCUUUAGCUACAAAUUGGCCGGUCGUUGUCCACCAUUCCCUCGGUGAACAGUGCAAGGUGCACCUGGACUGCAUGUUGUGCACUGCACCUUGAUUCAUGACACAGUGUAAUCAUGUUUGGCUGCGUAACCUCUAGGCUUUUCCUACACUCAUAAAAAUGGCCAAACCCAAAUGAAAACGGUCCUACAGGUGAACUUCCACAGUGGAAUGCCUCAAUCAACUUUGACUCAGCUCACUGGUACGAUUAUUGUAAGCAGGAAAGACAGCGCUCUUGAUGAUAACAAUAACAAAGUGUGAAAUCAACAA